Molecule: non-coding RNA, 136 nt
Organism: Triticum aestivum (bread wheat)
Lineage: Eukaryota; Viridiplantae; Streptophyta; Magnoliopsida; Poales; Poaceae
Source: Rfam
CAACUACUGCCUCUAUCCCAAAAUUCUUGUCUUAGAUUUUUUCUAGAUAUAGAUGUAUCUAAUACUAAAAUGUGACUUGAUACAUCUGUAUCUAGACAAAUCUAAGACAAGAAUUUUGGGACGGAGGGAGUACUUU